This is a long non-coding RNA of Mesocricetus auratus (golden hamster), 230 nucleotides long. RefSeq lists it as uncharacterized. The record is from RefSeq and is a predicted model, not a curated record. The transcript has 2 exons. NCBI's taxonomy places the organism in Eukaryota, Metazoa, Chordata, Mammalia, Rodentia, Cricetidae.
GAGGCUGGAGCUGAGAAGUUAGACUCCUGAGGACAGAGAUCAAACCUUCGCCUCAGCAGCUUCUCUCCCCAAGAAUUCUCAGAUUUGAAUGGGAUGGACUCUAAGAAAGCACCAAAUUCUCAGAUUAAAUUCAACACUGUGCAAAAAGCUGUUGCCCUCCUGGUGCUCCCUGGGCCCCCACUGAUCUUGAGCUCCAGCCAAAUACUUAAAUAAAUACUUGUUGCCAGGCA